AUUGAACGCUGGCGGCAGGCCUAACACAUGCAAGUCGAGCGAGCGGCGGACGGGGGAGUAAUGUCUGGGAAACUGCCUGAUGGAGGGGGAUAACUACUGGAAACGGUAGCUAAUACCGCAUACCAUCAGAUGUGCCCAGAUGGGCUUAGCUAGUAGGUGUGGUAAUGGUUCACCUAGGCGACGAGCCCUAGCUGGUCUGAGAGGAUGACCAGCCACACUGUAACUGAGACACGGUCCAGACUCCUACGUGAGGCAGGGUUGGGGAAUAGUGCACAAUGGACGCAAGCCUGGUGCAGCCAAGCGGCGUGUGUGAAGAAGGCCUGCGGGUUGUAAAGCACUUUCAGCUGGGAGGCGUUACCCGCAGAAGAAGCACCGGCUAACUCCGUGCCAGCAGCCGCGGUAAUAC
RNAcentral lists this ribosomal RNA (406 nucleotides) under uncultured bacterium. RNAcentral describes it as "partial 16S ribosomal RNA". It matches the Rfam family "Bacterial small subunit ribosomal RNA", at positions 30 to 526 of the family's 1533-position model. The record is from RNAcentral.